Molecule: non-coding RNA, 114 nt
Organism: Acanthosepion pharaonis
Lineage: Eukaryota; Metazoa; Mollusca; Cephalopoda; Sepiida; Sepiidae
Source: the annotation of a GenBank genome assembly
UUACGGUCACAUCACGUUGAAAUACCUGUUCCUCUACGAUCACCGAAGUUAAGCAACGUCGAGCUUAGUCAGUAUAUAGAUAGGUGACCGCUUGAGAAUACCAGAUGCUGUAAG